UGGGGAAUUUUGGACAAUGGGGGCAACCCUGAUCCAGCCAUCCCGCGUGUGCGAUGAAGGCCUUCGGGUUGUAAAGCACUUUUGGCAGGGAAGAAACAGCCUGGGCUAAUAUCCCGGGCGACUGACGGUACCUGCAGAAUAAGCACCGGCUAACUACGUGCCAGCAGCCGCGGUAAUACGUAGGGUGCAAGCGUUAAUCGGAAUUACUGGGCGUAAAGCGUGCGCAGGCGGUUCGGAAAGAAAGGUGUGAAAUCCCAGGGCUUAACCUUGGAACUGCACUUUUAACUACCGGGCUAGAGUACGUCAGAGGGGGGUAGAAUUCCACGUGUAGCAGUGAAAUGCGUAGAGAUGUGGAGGAAUACCGAUGGCGAAGGCAGCCCCCUGGGAUGAUACUGACGCUCAUGCGCGAAAGCGUGGGGAGCAAACA
Molecule: ribosomal RNA, 427 nt
Filed under: uncultured bacterium
Lineage: Bacteria
Description: bacterial SSU rRNA
Rfam family: Bacterial small subunit ribosomal RNA
Source: RNAcentral